Molecule: long non-coding RNA, 393 nt
Organism: Bicyclus anynana (squinting bush brown)
Lineage: Eukaryota; Metazoa; Arthropoda; Insecta; Lepidoptera; Nymphalidae
Exons: 2
Source: RefSeq, a predicted model, not a curated record
AAAAAUUAUUUCUUUAGAUAUUUAAAAUGGUGAAUUGUAGUGUUUUGGGCUGCAAAAGCCGCACUGAACGAAAAUGUGAAAACUUAACCUUUCAUACUUUUCCACGAGAUGUCUUUAUUAAUAAAAUAUAGACAAAGGCGACAGGAAGAGACAGGAAGACAGGAAGACAAAGGUGGCCUUCAUUAUCCGUCACCGUCAGUUAUUAAAUUAUGUGAAAUAGCGGAGGAAAUAUUUAAAAAAAAUAAACUACUAAUAAGCAAAACAAACUUGAUGGAGCAUCUACUGCAAGCAUGUUGUACGAAAUGACCUUAAUUUAUUUUCCGAAAAUGACCAUUUUCGUGAUAACCACUAUUAUAUUUUAUUAAUUAAAGCCAUUUGUAGAAAAUACUUAAA